This 401-nucleotide ribosomal RNA is filed under the name uncultured bacterium. RNAcentral's name for it is "bacterial SSU rRNA". It matches the Rfam family "Bacterial small subunit ribosomal RNA", at positions 28 to 432 of the family's 1533-position model. The record is from RNAcentral.
GACGAACGCUGGCGGCGUGCUUAACACAUGCAAGUCGAGCGGUAAGGCCCUUUCGGGGGUACACGAGCGGCGAACGGGUGAGUAACACGUGGGUGACCUGCCCUUAGCUCUGGGAUAAGCCUGGGAAACUGGGUCUAAUACCGGAUAUGACUCCAUGACGCAUGUUGUGGGGUGGAAAGCCUUGUGCGGCUAGGGAUGGGCCCGCGGCCUAUCAGCUUGUUGGUGGGGUGAUGGCCUACCAAGGCGACGACGGGUAGCCGGCCUGAGAGGGCGACCGGCCACACUGGGACUGAGACACGGCCCAGACUCCUACGGGAGGCAGCAGUGGGGAAUCUUGCGCAAUGGGCGAAAGCCUGACGCAGCGACGCCGCGUGAGGGAUGACGGCCUCGGUUGUAACCGU